AAAAACAUCGCUCUUUGUUUAUUUAGUAUAAAGAGUCGAACCUGCCCGGUGAUUAGGUUUAACGGCCGCGGUACUCUGACCGUGCAAAGGUAGCAUAAUCAUUUGCCUUAUAAUUGAAGGCUAGUAUGAAUGGUUUGACAAGAAUAGUACUGUCUCCGCGCAAAUUUUAUAAAAUUUGGUUUUUAGGUGAAGAAACCUAAAUAGAAUUGAAAGACAAGAAGACCCUAUCGAGCUUGAAAUAACUUUUUUGAGGUUUAUAGCAAAACUACUUUCAUAAGAAAAUUUUGGUUGGGGCGACUAAGGAACAUUUAAAGCUUCCUAUAAAAUAUAUAAACUUAUAUGUUUUGAUCCAGAAGUUUUGAUUAACAGAAUUAGUUACCGUAGGGAUAACAGCAUAAUCUUUUUUAAGAGUUCUUAUCGAAAAAAAGGUUUGUGACCUCGAUGUUGGACUAGGAUACCCAGAAAGGUGCAGAAGCCUUCAAUGGUUGGUCUGUUCGACCACUAAUAUCCUACGUGAUCU
RNAcentral lists this ribosomal RNA (520 nucleotides) under Hauffenia steffeki. Its description in RNAcentral is "Hauffenia sp. s MH-2021 partial large subunit ribosomal RNA". It matches the Rfam family "Bacterial large subunit ribosomal RNA", at positions 1809 to 2606 of the family's 2925-position model. Lineage: Eukaryota; Metazoa; Mollusca; Gastropoda; Littorinimorpha; Hydrobiidae. The record is from RNAcentral.